CAGUCGCCGCGGUAAUACAGAGGGUGCAAGCGUUAAUCGGAUUUACUGGGCGUAAAGGGCGCGUAGGUGGUUAUUUAAGUGAGAUGUGAAAGCCCCGGGCUUAACCUGGGAACUGCAUCUUAUACUGGGUAACUGGAGUGCAGUAGAGGGUAGUGGAAUUUCCGGUGUAGCGGUGAAAUGCGUAGAUAUCGGAAGGAACACCAGUGGCGAAGGCGGCUACCUGGACUGAGACUGACACUGAGGCGCGAGAGCGUGGGGAGCAAACAGGAUUAGAUACCCGAGUAGUCCCUGUCUCUUAUAC
This 301-nucleotide ribosomal RNA is filed under the name uncultured bacterium. RNAcentral's name for it is "partial 16S ribosomal RNA". It matches the Rfam family "Bacterial small subunit ribosomal RNA", at positions 509 to 807 of the family's 1533-position model. The record is from RNAcentral.